UUGAACGCUGGCGGCAUGCUUUACACCUGCCAGUCGAACGGUAACAGGCCGCAAGGUGCUGACGAGUGGCGAACGGGUGAGUAAUGCAUCGGAACGUGCCCAGUCGUGGGGGAUAACUACUCGAAAGAGUAGCUAAUACCGCAUACGAUCUAUGGAUGAAAGCGGGGGACCGUAAGGCCUCGCGCGAUUGGAGCGGCCGAUGUCAGAUUAGGUAGUUGGUGGGGUAAAGGCUCACCAAGCCAACGAUCUGUAGCUGGUCUGAGAGGACGACCAGCCACACUGGGACUGAGACACGGCCCAGACUCCUACGGGAGGCAGCAGUGGGGAAUUUUGGACAAUGGGCGCAAGCCUGAUCCAGCAAUGCCGCGUGCAGGAAGAAGGCCUUCGGGUUGUAAACUGCUUUUGUACGGAACGAAACGGCUCUGGUUAAUACCCGGGGCUAAUGACGGUACCGUAAGAAUAAGCACCGGCUAACUACGUG
RNAcentral lists this ribosomal RNA (481 nucleotides) under uncultured bacterium. Its description in RNAcentral is "partial 16S ribosomal RNA". It matches the Rfam family "Bacterial small subunit ribosomal RNA", at positions 30 to 507 of the family's 1533-position model. The record is from RNAcentral.